This is a long non-coding RNA of Juglans regia (Persian walnut), 699 nucleotides long. RefSeq lists it as uncharacterized. NCBI's taxonomy places the organism in Eukaryota, Viridiplantae, Streptophyta, Magnoliopsida, Fagales, Juglandaceae. The record is from RefSeq and is a predicted model, not a curated record. The transcript is spliced from 3 exons.
GUUCCCUGCACGUGGGUUAGGGUUGCAACCCUAACCCUUCCCCGCUGCCACCGCUUUGAUCUCCACCGCCUGAAGGAGCUUUGACAGAGGUUUGUUACAUACCCCCCCCCUUAAAACAUCUUGCUCGCAAGGUGGAGGAAGUCAUCUUUUAGCUUCGAAUAAACCUCCCAUGUCGCAUCCGUUGCUUCUUGGCCGUGCCAACCAGGUUGGAAGUGUCGUGACCUUAGAUCCGAUCUUCAAUUUGAGUUGGGACACGUGAAAUGUUGGGUGGACCCAAGAUGAUGGAGGGAGAUCGAGCUUGUACGCAACACUGCCUAUCUUCUGCAGAAUUUGAAAUGGUCCAAAGAACCGAGGUGCGAGUUUGAGGCUAUGGCAGCGGGCUAUGCUGGUUUGACGGUACGGCUGCAACUUGAGGGUCUUCACCAUUGAAGACAGGGAAGUCCAACCUUACUAUUCUGGUCUGCACGUCGCCUGGGUGGGUUUGGUGUGGUGGCAGUUCUUGCUAGUUUUGAUGUUAGUGGUUGUGUUGCUGAAAAUGCUACUGCAAGAAAAUAUGUUACACCUGCAGAUUUUCAUUUUCUUGCCUCAACUGGUCACUUGAAGAAGAAUCCCGAGGACUACUAUUUGUAUUUCUUUUCUGUAUUUCCCCUGUUAGAAUAGCCAGCUGUUAUACCAUUGCCUCAUUUUGUCUUUUGAGGG